GACGAACGCUGGCGGCGUGCUUAACACAUGCAAGUCGAGCGGAAAGGCCCUGCUUUUGUGGGGUGCUCGAGUGGCGAACGGGUGAGUAACACGUGAGUAACCUGCCCUUGACUUUGGGAUAACUUCAGGAAACUGGGGCUAAUACCGGAUAGGAGCUCCUGCUGCAUGGUGGGGGUUGGAAAGUUUCGGCGGUUGGGGCUGGACUCGCGGCUUAUCAGCUUGUUGGUGGGGUAGUGGCUUACCAAGGGUUUGACGGGUAGCCGGCCUGGGAGGGGGACCGGCGACAUGAGGACUGAGAUACGGCCCAGAAUGCUACGGGAGGCAACAGGGGGGAAUAUUACGGAAUGGGCGGAAGCCUGAUGUGGCAACGCCGGGAGCGGGAUGACGGCCUUCGGGUGGUAAACCGCUUUCGCCUGUGACGAAGCGUGAGUGACGGUAAUGGGUAAAGAAGCACCGGCUAACUACGUG
RNAcentral lists this ribosomal RNA (468 nucleotides) under uncultured bacterium. RNAcentral's name for it is "partial 16S ribosomal RNA". It matches the Rfam family "Bacterial small subunit ribosomal RNA", at positions 28 to 507 of the family's 1533-position model. The record is from RNAcentral.